UGGGGAAUAUUGCACAAUGGGCGCAAGCCUGAUGCAGCCAUGCCGCGUGUGUGAAGAAGGCCUUCGGGUUGUAAAGCACUUUCAGCGGGGAGGAAGGCGGUGAGGUUAAUAACCUCAUCGAUUGACGUUACCCGCAGAAGAAGCACCGGCUAACUCCGUGCCAGCAGCCGCGGUAAUACGGAGGGUGCAAGCGUUAAUCGGAAUUACUGGGCGUAAAGCGCACGCAGGCGGUCUGUCAAGUCAGAUGUGAAAUCCCCGGGCUCAACCUGGGAACUGCAUCUGAUACUGGCAAGCUUGAGUCUCGUAGAGGGGGGUAGAAUUCCAGGUGUAGCGGUGAAAUGCGUAGAGAUCUGGAGGAAUACCGGUGGCGAAGGCGGCCCCCUGGACGAAGACUGACGCUCAGGUGCGAAAGCGUGGGGAGCAAACAGG
RNAcentral lists this ribosomal RNA (429 nucleotides) under Chloroflexota bacterium. Its description in RNAcentral is "Chloroflexi bacterium partial 16S ribosomal RNA". It matches the Rfam family "Bacterial small subunit ribosomal RNA", at positions 355 to 776 of the family's 1533-position model. The record is from RNAcentral. Lineage: Bacteria; Bacillati; Chloroflexota.